RNAcentral lists this ribosomal RNA (329 nucleotides) under uncultured Butyrivibrio sp. RNAcentral describes it as "partial 16S ribosomal RNA". Lineage: Bacteria; Bacillati; Bacillota; Clostridia; Lachnospirales; Lachnospiraceae. The record is from RNAcentral.
GGAGUCUGGGCCGUGUCUCAGUCCCAAUGUGGCCGUCCGCCCUCUCAGGCCGGCUACCGAUCGUCGCUUUGGUGGGCCGUUACCCCGCCAACUGGCUAAUCGGACGCGGGUCCAUCUCAUACCACCGGAGUUUUUCACACCGUACCAUGCGGUACUGUGCGCUUAUGCGGUAUUACCAGUCGUUUCCAACUGCUAUCCCCCUGUAUGAGGCAGGUUACCCACGCGUUACUCACCCGUCCGCCGCUAACCAGUCAUAAGUUCAUAGCAAGCUAUUCACUUAAUCAGGUCCGCUCGACUUGCAUGUGUUAGGCACGCCGCCAGCGUUCAUC